RNAcentral lists this long non-coding RNA (209 nucleotides) under Mytilus galloprovincialis (Mediterranean mussel). Lineage: Eukaryota; Metazoa; Mollusca; Bivalvia; Mytilida; Mytilidae. The record is from RNAcentral.
GAAUAGAGAAAAAUAGUGUAAACAAAAUAAAGAAUAGAGAAAAAUAGUGAGAACAAAAUAAAGAAUAGAGAAAAAAAGUGUGAACAAAAUAAAGAAUAGAGAAAAAUAGUGCAAACAAAAUAAAGAAUAGAGAAAAAUAGUGCAAACAAAAUAAAGAAUAGAGAAAAAUAGUGUAAACAAAAUAAAGAAUAGAGAAAAAUAGUGCAAAC